Molecule: ribosomal RNA, 482 nt
Filed under: uncultured bacterium
Lineage: Bacteria
Description: bacterial SSU rRNA
Rfam family: Bacterial small subunit ribosomal RNA
Source: RNAcentral
AAAUGAAUAGACGGGGGCUCGCACAAGCGGUGGAUCAUGUGGCUUAAUUCGUCGGUAAGCGAAGAACCUUACCAAGGCUAGAAACCAUACUGCACGCUCUAUGAAAGUAGAGAAGCCUUCGAGGGUGUAUGGCAGGUGAUGCAUGGCCGUCGUCAGUUCGUGGCUUGAGCUGUUCCCUUAAGUGGGGAAACGAACGCAACCCUCGUUGCCUGUUAUAAGUGUCAGGCGAGACUGCUCCCUCACGGGAGAGGAAGGUGAGGAUGACGCCAGGUCAGCAUGUCCCUAGAUGCCUUGGGCUGCACACGUGAUACAAUGGGUGGUACAACGGGACGCAAUACAGUAAUGUGGAGCAAAUCCUUAUAAAACCAUCCUCAGUUCGGAUUGAGGGCUGCAACUCGCCCUCAUGAAGUCGGAAUCGCUAGUAAUCGCGGAUCAGCAACGCCGCGGUGAAUACGUUCCCGAGCCUUGUACACACCGCCCGU